CGGUGGUCUACCUCUAGCUGUCAUUCCACUAGGUCUUGCACCUUGCAUCUUAUUCUUCUCAUCAAGCUCCGUGCAAUCUCUAAUGAAGUGGUCCUUCGAACCGCAUCCGUAACAGGCCCUGUUAGUAGACUUACCCCAACAUUCACCUAUGUGUCGUCUUCCACAUUGGGGGCAUUCAGGUUUCUCUUGACGAUUAUUGCCCACACUAGCUACCGAAGUAGCUCGGGAGUCCGUCGAUGGUCGUGCUCUAAUGGAAAUUCCCGCAGUCGUCCUCGAUUUAUUAGUGUCCUCCCUGAACUUCUUUACAGCCGAGAACGGAGCUUUACCCGUCGAUCUUUUACGAUAGUCUC
Molecule: long non-coding RNA, 350 nt
Filed under: Gossypium barbadense (sea-island cotton)
Lineage: Eukaryota; Viridiplantae; Streptophyta; Magnoliopsida; Malvales; Malvaceae
Description: long non-coding RNA (GBAR_LNC008055)
Source: RNAcentral